This 263-nucleotide ribosomal RNA is filed under the name uncultured bacterium. Its description in RNAcentral is "partial 16S ribosomal RNA". It matches the Rfam family "Bacterial small subunit ribosomal RNA", at positions 793 to 1055 of the family's 1533-position model. The record is from RNAcentral.
GUCCACGCAGUAAACGAUGAGUACUAGUUGUCGGGCCCUUGGGGUUCGGUGGCGAAGCUAACGCGUUAAGUACUCCGCCUGGGGGACUACGGUCGCAAGACUAAAACUCAAAGGAAUUGACGGGGACCCGCACAAGCAGUGGAGCAUGUGGUUUAAUUCGAUGCUACGCGAAAAACCUUACCAACCCUUGAAUCCAGUUGACCGCUACAGAGAUGUAGCUUUGGAGCAAUCCACAAUUGACACAGGUGUUGCAUGGCUGUCGU